GCUCUGGACUCUGGGAUAAGCCUGGGAAACUGGGUCUAAUACCGGAUAUUCACUUUCUCUCGCAUGGGGGUUGGUGGAAAGCUUUUGCGGUUCAGGAUGGGCCCGCGGCCUAUCAGCUUGUUGGUGGGGUAAUGGCCUACCAAGGCGACGACGGGUAGCCGACCUGAGAGGGUGAUCGGCCACACUGGGACUGAGACACGGCCCAUACUCCUACGGGAGGCAGCAGUGGGGAAUAUUGCACAAUGGGCGCAAGCCUGAUGCAGCGACGCCGCGUGAGGGAUGACGGCCUUCGGGUUGUAAACCUCUUUCACCAGGGACGAAGCGUGAGUGACGGUACCUGGAGAAGAAGCACCGGCCAACUACGUGCCAGCAGCCGCGGUAAUACGUAGGGUGCGAGCGUUGUCCGGAAUUACUGGGCGUAAAGAGCUCGUAGGCGGUUUGUCGCGUCGUCUGUGGAAUUCUGCAACUCAAUUGUAGGCGUGCAGGCGAUACGGGCAGACUUGAGUACUACAGGGGAGACUGGAAUUCCUGGUGUAGCGGUGAAAUGCGCAGAUAUCAGGAGGAACACCGGUGGCGAAGGCGGGUCUCUGGGUAGUAACUGACGCUGAGGAGCGAAAGCGUGGGGAGCGAACAGGAUUAGAUACCCUGGUAGUCCACGCCGUAAACGGUGGGUACUAGGUGUGGGACUCUUUUCACGGGUUCCGUGCCGUAGCUAACGCAUUAAGUACCCCGCCUGGGGAGUACGGCCGCAAGGCUAAAACUCAAAGGAAUUGACGGGGGCCCGCACAAGCGGCGGAGCAUGUGGAUUAAUUCGAUGCAACGCGAAGAACCUUACCUGGGUUUGACAUCUACCGGACCGCUCCAGAGAUGGGGCUUCCCUUGUGGCUGGUAGACAGGUGCAUGCU
RNAcentral lists this ribosomal RNA (905 nucleotides) under Gordonia paraffinivorans. Its description in RNAcentral is "bacterial SSU rRNA". It matches the Rfam family "Bacterial small subunit ribosomal RNA", at positions 128 to 1049 of the family's 1533-position model. The record is from RNAcentral. Lineage: Bacteria; Bacillati; Actinomycetota; Actinomycetes; Mycobacteriales; Gordoniaceae.